RNAcentral lists this ribosomal RNA (492 nucleotides) under uncultured bacterium. RNAcentral's name for it is "partial 16S ribosomal RNA". It matches the Rfam family "Bacterial small subunit ribosomal RNA", at positions 29 to 507 of the family's 1533-position model. The record is from RNAcentral.
AGUGAACGCUGGCGGUAGGCCUAACACAUGCAAGUCGAACGGCAGCACAGUAAGAGCUUGCUCUUACGGGUGGCGAGUGGCGGACUGGUGAGGACUACAUCGGAAUCUACUUUUUCGUGGGGUAUAACGUAGGGAAACUUACGCUAAUACCGCAUACGACCUACGGGUGAAAGCAGGUGAUCUUCGGACCUUGCGCGAUUGAAUGAGCCGAUGUCGGAUUAGCUAGUUGGCGGGGUAAAGGCCCACCAAGGCGACGAUCCGUAGCUGGUCUGAGAGGAUGAUCAGCCACACUGGAACUGAGACACGGUCCAGACUCCUACGGGAGGCAGCAGUGGGGAAUAUUGGACAAUGGGCGCAAGCCUGAUACAGCCAUACCGCGUGAGUGAAGAAGGACUUCGGGUUGUAAAGCCCUUUUGUUGGGAAAGAAAAGAAGCAGGUUAAUACCACGCUGUUCUGACGGUACCCAAAGAAUAAGCACCGGCUAACUUCGUG